Molecule: ribosomal RNA, 612 nt
Filed under: Triticum aestivum (bread wheat)
Lineage: Eukaryota; Viridiplantae; Streptophyta; Magnoliopsida; Poales; Poaceae
Description: partial small subunit ribosomal RNA
Source: RNAcentral
AGUCGAUGUAGCAGAAAAUGUAGCAAGUUCCAGCAAAAAUAGAAGCUGGUUCCAGCCCAAAAGCACGUCGGCAGUGCGGAGGCGCGUCCAGUCCCAUCAAAAUCACAGGAAGCAAAAUCCAAAAAAAGUAGAUGUAGCAAAAAAAAGUAGCAAGUUCCAGCAAAAAACCGUCCGCGGUGGGAGGGCGCGUCCGGUUCCAGCACCGAUGGAUGCAGGUUCCAGCAAAUUUUGUGGCUGGUUAUAGCACCGUUGAUGCCUGGUUCCAACAAAAACUUCGCCACACCAAAAAUUGCCGCCUCGUCGCAGCACCGGGCUCAGCCGGUUCCAGCAUCCUCCACCACAGUUCCAUCAUUUUGCCACUGUGGUUGCAGCACCCGUCGGCGUGGUCACCAUGCCCAUGGUGGGCAGCGCCAUGCUCGACCGGUUGCAGCAUCGCUGGACGCCGUCUCCAACACCAAUGGACGCCCCCGUCUCCAGCACCCGCUCCGCCACGCCGCCCCAAGGCCGCCGCCGCGCAGUGGUUAGCAGCGCGGCCCCCCGUCGAAGCCAUGAGGAUGGAGAAGGUGUAGGCCAUGUCCUCCCCCUGCCUUCGUGAGAACUGAUUUGAGAUCC